RNAcentral lists this ribosomal RNA (487 nucleotides) under uncultured bacterium. Its description in RNAcentral is "bacterial SSU rRNA". It matches the Rfam family "Bacterial small subunit ribosomal RNA", at positions 28 to 507 of the family's 1533-position model. The record is from RNAcentral.
GAUGAACGCUAGCGGGAGGCUUAACACAUGCAAGUCGAGGGGCAGCAUAGGGUAGCAAUACUCUGAUGGCGACCGGCAAACGGGUGAGUAACGCGUAUGCAACCUACCCUGUACAGGGGGAUAACCCGGAGAAAUUCAGACUAAUAUCCCGUAAUAAUAUCCGGAGGCAUCUUUGGAUAUUUAAAGUUCCGACGGUACGGGAUGGGCAUGCGUAACAUUAGCUGGUUGGUAAGGUAACGGCUUACCAAGGCUAUGAUGUUUAGGGGUCCUGAGAGGGUGGUCCCCCACACUGGUACUGAGACACGGACCAGACUCCUACGGGAGGCAGCAGUGAGGAAUAUUGGUCAAUGGGCGCAAGCCUGAACCAGCCAUCCCGCGUGCAGGAAGACGGCCCUAUGGGUUGUAAACUGCUUUUCCAGGGAGAGAAACUUACGCACGUGUUGCGUGACUGACGGUACCCUGGGAAUAAGCAUCGGCUAACUCCGUG